GUAAAAGCACGUAAAGUUUUGAUCUUUAAAGAAAUAGUGUAAUUCUAUUAAGUAUAAUGAAUAAAAAA
This 68-nucleotide transfer RNA is filed under the name Palaemon capensis. Its description in RNAcentral is "tRNA-Gln". The record is from RNAcentral. Lineage: Eukaryota; Metazoa; Arthropoda; Malacostraca; Decapoda; Palaemonidae.